RNAcentral lists this ribosomal RNA (399 nucleotides) under uncultured bacterium. RNAcentral describes it as "partial 16S ribosomal RNA". It matches the Rfam family "Bacterial small subunit ribosomal RNA", at positions 338 to 734 of the family's 1533-position model. The record is from RNAcentral.
CCUACGGGAGGCUGCAGUGAGGAAUAUUGGUCAAUGGUCGGGAGCCUGAACCAGCCAAGUCGCGUGAGGGAGGAAGGUACUACGUAUUGUAAACCUCUUUUGUCAGGGAAUAAAGAGAGGGACGCGUUCCUGUUUGUGUGUACCUUAUGAAUAAGCAUCGGCUAACUCCGUGCCCGCAGCCUCGGUAAUACGGAGGAUGCGAACUUUAUCCGGAUUUCUUGGGUUUAAAGGGUGCGUAGGUGGGUUGUGAAGUCAGCGGUGAAAGUUCGUGGCUCAACCAUGAGAGUGCCGUUGAAACUGGCAGUCUUGAGUAGAGGUGAGGUAGGCGGAAUGCGUGGUGUAGCGGUGAAAUGCAUAGAUAUCACGCAGAACUCCGAUUGCGAAGGCAGCUUACUAGAC